Pseudopodoces humilis (Tibetan ground-tit) is the source of this 626-nucleotide non-coding RNA. Lineage: Eukaryota; Metazoa; Chordata; Aves; Passeriformes; Paridae. The record is from RefSeq and is a predicted model, not a curated record.
CAGCGGUUGGGGGGUCCCUGCUGUCCCUGCUCCUGCUCCUGGGUGCCAUCGUGGGGUGGCACCGGUGCCACCGCCGGGCCCCCAGGACGCCCCAGGACAGGACCCCCCCGCUGUCCCCCGAGGAGGGGGAGGUGCUCUACACCCGCGUGGUGCCCAGCGAGAGGGCAGCGGGGUCCCCAAGUGCCACCCACCAGGUGACCUACGCGGAGCUGCCAGGACGACAGUGGCACCCAGGGGACAGCGGUGACUACGAGAACGUGCUGUGACACUGGGUGGCACUCAGGGGUGGCACUCGGGGGUGGCACUGGGUCCCCUGAUGCCACCCAGGGGACAGCGGUGACAUCUGCGAGAACGUGCUGUGACAUUGGGUGGCACUGGGUGACACUUGGUCUCCAAGUGCCACCCCCUCAGGGAACUGCCAAGUCCUCAGAUGCCACCCAGGGGACAGCGGUGACAUCCAGGAGAAUGUCCUGUGACACUGGGUGGCACUGGGGACACUGGGGACACUCACACACGUUUGACUCCUGUGGGUGCCCACCCUGCCCGUGGCCAUCGGGACUUGUCCCUGUCCCCUCCCCGUGGCUCUGUCCCCUCCCUGUGACCACCAGGACCCGUCCCUGUCCCUG